GACGAACGCUGGCGGCGUGCCUAAUACAUGCAAGUAGAACGCUGAAGCGAGGAGCUUGCUCUUCUUGGAUGAGUUGCGAACGGGUGAGUAACGCGUAGGUAACCUGCCUGGUAGCGGGGGAUAACUAUUGGAAACGAUAGCUAAUACCGCAUGAAAUUGCUUAUCGCAUGAUAAUUGAUUGAAAGAUGCAAUUGCAUCACUACCAGAUGGACCUGCGUUGUAUUAGCUAGUUGGUGAGGUAACGGCUCACCAAGGCGACGAUACAUAGCCGACCUGAGAGGGUGAUCGGCCACACUGGGACUGAGACACGGCCCAGACUCCUACGGGAGGCAGCAGUAGGGAAUCUUCGGCAAUGGGGGGAACCCUGACCGAGCAACGCCGCGUGAGUGAAGAAGGGUUUCGGAUCGUAAAGCUCUGUUGUAAGAGAAGAACGGGUGUGAGAGUGGAAAGUUCACACUGUGACGGUAUCUUACCAGAAAGGGACGGCUAACUACGUG
RNAcentral lists this ribosomal RNA (497 nucleotides) under uncultured bacterium. Its description in RNAcentral is "partial 16S ribosomal RNA". It matches the Rfam family "Bacterial small subunit ribosomal RNA", at positions 28 to 507 of the family's 1533-position model. The record is from RNAcentral.